GCCAACUAUGUACUUUUACCCCAAGAGGAGGGAAAUGUAGUACUGCAUAACCAAGAGGGAACGGAUAAAACAAAGUCUCGAACGAAAGAAAACUGAGUACGGGGGCCGGUUACAUGAAGGGAAGGUUAUCGCACCCCUUCACAUCUGUGGUAUUCCACAAGAUCCACGUUUGCUAUUUAUGUCUAAAGGGUGUGGGUUUAUCUAAUGUACUAUUUACCAAAAGAGGGGUUAAAA
RNAcentral lists this long non-coding RNA (234 nucleotides) under Lathyrus oleraceus (garden pea). RNAcentral's name for it is "Pisum sativum (pea) long non-coding RNA (PSAT_LNC019193)". The record is from RNAcentral. Lineage: Eukaryota; Viridiplantae; Streptophyta; Magnoliopsida; Fabales; Fabaceae.